AAUUAGAAAAUUGCCUGUGAUUUGAUUAGGAAUUUAGAUUAUGUAAUCAGAGUGAGAUUUUGGGGGGCGAUAGGGUACAGUACUGUGAAGGAAUUUUUAAUAUAUUAAUAAUUAAUUUUUUAGAAGUAAAGUGGGUUGUACCUUUUGUAUUAGGGUUUAGCUAGAAUAUUGAUAGAUUUUUUAAUUCCCGAAUGGUCUCGAGCUAUUGGGGGGGAUUUUGGUCGUUUUAGAGAUUGAGCAGACUUUUUUAUAGAAAUGAAAUUUUAUUCGAGAGACUUGAUAUCUGGUUGGGAUUGAAAAUUAUAUAUUUUGUUAUGGAGGUUGUAAUUAGGUAGGUCCAUGUUUUUGAUUUUUCGGGAUAAGCUGGGAGAUUUUUUAUAUAUGUAAAUUGUGGUAUAAGGGGGGCUUAGAAUUUGCUUUUGUUUUGUAAUAAAAAAUUUUUUUGUUAGGUUUAUUUAAAUUUUUUUAUUUUUUAAUUAAUUAUUUUUAAUUGGAUUAAUGUUAGGAUUAGUAUAAUUUUGUUGGAAUUUUUAUGUUAAGUUUUUGUUUUUUAGGUAAAAAGUGAGGAAGAAUUCGGCAAAAUGUGUUUCUGAAUGUUUAUCAAAAACAUUGUAUUUUGUAGUAAUGAAAUAUAAAACCUGCUCAAUGAGAGAAGUUUAAUUGCUGUGGUAUUGUGACUAUACGAAGGUAUUGAAAUAAGGCUUUAAUUGGGUGCUAAGAGAAUGGUUUAACAGAGAUGGGCUUUUUUCUUAUUUAAAUUGGAAUUUGAUUUAAAAAUGAAGAAGUUUUUAUGAAAUUUUGGGACAAGAAGACCCUAUGAAUUUUUUAAAAAAAUUAUUUUUAGUUUUUGUUUGGAAGAAGAUGCGGAUAUUUUUUUGUUAAUUGGGGUGAUUUUUAAAUUUUGGUUAACUUUAAAAGUGUGUUAUUGGAUCCAGUAAUAGUGAUAGAUUGAAUAAAAUACUCUAGGGAUAACAGCGUUAUUACUUUGGAUAGUUCAUAUAGAUAAAGUAGAUUGCGACCUCGAUGUUGGAUUAGGAUACCUUUAUUGAUGAAGAAGUCGUGAAAGGGGGUUUGCUCAACUUUUAAAUUCCUACAUGAUCUGAGUUCAGACCGGCGUGAGCCAGGUUGGUUUCUAUCUAAAUUAGUAUGUUUGUCUUAUUAGUACGAAAGGAAUUUAAGACUUAAAUUGUUUUGGAGAGUUUUUAAAAGUGAUGUUAAUU
RNAcentral lists this ribosomal RNA (1220 nucleotides) under Ornithodoros savignyi. RNAcentral's name for it is "16S ribosomal RNA". The stretch from base 798 to 1141 matches the Rfam family "Archaeal large subunit ribosomal RNA", at positions 2151 to 2715 of the family's 2987-position model. Lineage: Eukaryota; Metazoa; Arthropoda; Arachnida; Ixodida; Argasidae. The record is from RNAcentral.